Long non-coding RNA from Malania oleifera, 1507 nucleotides. RefSeq lists it as uncharacterized. Lineage: Eukaryota; Viridiplantae; Streptophyta; Magnoliopsida; Santalales; Ximeniaceae. The transcript has 2 exons. The record is from RefSeq and is a predicted model, not a curated record.
GGGAAGUACCUGCCAACCAGCUUCUAUGGUAUUAAGAUCAUUCUCGAAAGAGCCAGAGAUGACCCAAAUUUGUGACAAGCUGAAUUCAUAUUCAUCAGUUACGCGGGGAGCCCAAACAUUAAUGCUGGUUUUUGCUCCAUAGUACUGAUCUCCUUUCACAAACAUUACUGCAUGCUGCAAUCCCAAAACAGCAUCAGUCAACCAGUUUCUGAAAUAAAAACAGUUCCUUCUGGGCAUGCUUCCCCAGAACUUGACCACAGCUGCAGGCUCUCUGUCACAUUGUCCAUGGAGUCAUGUCCUUUCGGUCUCUCUGGUGGAUCCUGCAAAAGCAAGAAGUUUGAAUGUGCGAACUUUCCCCUUUCCCAAAUCAGAAAAAUUGAAACUGGCCUCUGUUCAGUUCGGUGAGCAGAUCCUGAGAUUUGCAUUUUGAUUUGGGAAAAUUUUCCCAGAAUUGUUUUCCAUCCAAACAAAAAGAAACUCAAGGAGAAAACAUAAAUUAACUUCUGUUCAAAUACCAAUGGCUUCUGUCCUUUAAGCUGUGGAUGAUCAAAAGCUGGUUGAAGAUGAGAUAGAACACAAUCUAUGAGAUCACCGUCAGGACUCUACAAAGAAGAAAUGAGGAACCCAGGUCAUAAAACCUGUCAACGCCAAGAAAAUGCCAACAUUUAAACAAGAAACACCAUUGAAUACAGUGACAAUGCCUUAAUUGUCUCGACUGCAGGUUUGUUGAUCUUCUUGAGAUAAGCUCUUAUUUUGUUCAACCUAUGCAGCUCUGAACCUGGCCGGAAAGUUUGGUUGGCAGGCUGGCGGUGGCCGGAAUCCGGCUCGGUGGGUAGUGAGAGGACCGGGGUGAGGGAGGAAGAUACAAGGAGGAAGGCAACAAAAAAGGGAAUGAUUAGAAGGGUGUGGGAGUGAGAAGGGGAAGAGGCCAUGUUUGUGCAAUGAUUUUUUUGUUGUGCUGCAGAACUGGGUUGUGUUUGUAUGCAUUGGAGUUGUCUUGUACUGUGAAGAAGGUAACAUGGACAUGGUUUAUUCCAAAAUUUUGUCCAUGGGGAUCCAACUCUGAUCAAAUCCAUACAGGACGGACGAACCUCUUCAAACGACGAGUAGCAGCCCGGUUCACUGCCUCUCCAUUUCCAAUACUUCCAAUAAGCCAAACACCCAGAUAUGCCGUCAAGCUCCCCUCUCUCUCUCUCUCUCUGGAUGGAGACACAGAGAUUCUAGUGCCUUGGUUUUGUGUUCUGACUUCUGACACACAAAAACUUCAGGCAUGAGCUUAUUAAAAUAGGCCAGGGUAAGUGGCUCCUUUCUUUCUAAGUUUUUUUUCUAAGUUUUACUCAUGAUGGUAGUGGUCAAAAUAGAUUAUUUAAUUAAUUAAUUUAUUGAGAGAGAGAGAGAGAGAUGGGUAUAUCACCUUUGCAUUGCUCUGUUCUUACUUCCCUGUAUCUUCAUUGACCUUGCAAUUUUAUCUUUAUUUGAGUUAUCAUAAUUUUGACUUUUUGAGGAA